Long non-coding RNA from Mauremys mutica (yellowpond turtle), 4219 nucleotides. RefSeq lists it as uncharacterized. The record is from RefSeq and is a predicted model, not a curated record. The transcript has 3 exons. Lineage: Eukaryota; Metazoa; Chordata; Testudines; Geoemydidae.
GAAGUAUUUCUGCCCAAUAACCAACUCUUAGCUGGAUAAACAUUUUUUAAAAAGAUAUCUGCGGGCCCUUGGACUCUGCUAACCCUCGGUGAACGGUCCUUGAAUGCACCCACUCAAGCUCGGAACUACAGAGCAUCUCAGAGAGCCAGAAAAAUCUGCCUCUGCUGCUUGCUGCUCUUCUGGUUCCUAAGGAAGUGACGUGGGUCUGAGUCACCCAUCACUUCUCCCAGUUGCUAGGCAGCAGUCCUGGCCUGGGCUCCUGCGGGACUGGCAGGGGAUUCAGCAAGAACAUGCUCUGAAAAGGAGACCUUGAAAAUGUCAGGGGCAGGAAGGCCAAGAGCAGCCGCACUCGACUGUGACGCAGCCCUGAGGACGGUGUGAGUCACUGAAGAGGAGUUUGUAACUAGAGAACAAAGCUGCCCUGGAGUCCAGGAAAGGGAUGCGGGGGAGGCUGCCACGCCACUGAUGCCGGAACGAUUCUCUCCCCCUACCAUGAGGGAGCAACUUCCACGUCAAGACUUCUCGCCCGAAGAGCGACUGACCCUCUUUCCAAAGGCUCUGAGGCUGCAGCACUUGGGCAGGGAUCAGCAGCAUCAAUCAGCUGGAGCUGGAGGUGCAAUGUCCAGCUGGAGAAGACGCACCCACGCUAGCUCUGAUCAACCUAGUGGACUAAAAGAUGUGCGGCCAUGGAGGCACGAAGAACUGCCCGACAGUCAGGAGCAGGAGCCGAGAAGUGUCAAGACUUGGGGAAUCUACACUCAGCUCUCCCACCAUCUCUUCGGUGGCACUGGACAAAUUUCAACCUCCCUGGACCACAUGUACUUCCUCUGGAAACCAAGACACUCAGGUCCUGCCUACAAGUGCACAAAAGCACUGGUUGCCCUGCCUCCUCCUAAUUAAGAAGGAAGGAAGGCUCCCCAAGAUGAUUUCACAUGCCAAGGAAACCCUGAGCUCUGAAUCCUGGAGAGCAAAGGGUUUAUGAAGAACACCCAGACGUGCUCCGUUAUAAAGAGCGCUGCGCGAAUCCCACAGCUUCCGCGGCUGGAACAAACACUGGGUGGGCAUCAUGUUAUAAUCCUGAGAAAGGGACAAGCUGUUGCACGGUCAGAUUGUUUCAUUUUCCCUUCGUACCAUGCCAGCCCUGGCUGCCUCGGCCUACCAGGGGUGACUAGUGUGGCAGGGAGGGUGCCUUCCUUCAGGCCUUGCUCACCGUCAAGCCACACUCCUGGCACUUUAUUAAAUACCACUGACUCCUCUGCAGGUGGGAGAAAAGAGGGCUCUGCUCCUCUUGCAUAGGCCAUAUCUUCCUGGCUUGCUGCGACUGAAAUUCACGGCUCCAGCCAGGUAAAUCGAGCCCUGCUUGAACUCAAGCGGAAGAUCCGCAAGGCAAGCCCGGGGCAAAAUGAAGUGGGGCUGGUGAUUCGGUAGAAGGGCGGCUCUUCCCUUUGUUAGUACAGUUAAUGCACUGGGCCCUUCAUGGACAACUAAGUCAAUGGGACAAGCUCCCCGCCCUGAAGAGCUGGUACAUGGAGCUUCUCUGCCCCGCUGACAUUCUGCACGGGAGAGUGGGAUAGGGUGGCUGCUCUGAACACGGAUGGACUCGUUACCCUGGACGAAAAGCCCCCUUUGGACAUCCCCAGAGAGCUAGUGCAGCAAGCUAGUGGGUCUAGGGAAGAUCAGAUCGAUUCUUCCAGCCCAACUCUGGAGGGAACCGCAGAGACCAGACUGAUGUGUCACAGGGUCCGCAGGAUGCACGGACCUUUAGUUCACACUCGGCUCAGGGUGGUACCGAGCCAACUGUUAACCAGCUGGUUUCCUGUGAAAUGACUGGGGAGGUCUGGGACCAGGGUCUGAGUCCCAAAACCACCCUGAGCAGCACUCGCCCACCCCCCCUCGUUGGCAGGAGGCCAAGCACUGGCCAGGGAUGGUGGGACUGUGCUCCCCACUAGCACCUAGAAGCAGCCCUGCUCCAUAUCAGCAUGUGGGUGAAGCGUCUUCCGUGGGGCUGUCGGUUCAGCACUGCUCACCCCAACAGCACUCGGCAGACCGGCCCCAGCUGCUGGUGGCCGUCAGGACUCAUUCGCCUCUCCCCCAGGCUGGGAGCUCAGUCAGACGCCGAGCUGGCACCUGGGAUUCCCCUGGAGCUCAGGCGGCAAGAGCCAGAGGCCCGGGGGCGGGAAUGCUAGAACAAUGUUGACAGUGGCGGGGCAGGGAGAGGGCUGAAGCUCACUGAACCAAACUGUAAUGCUUUUGGUUGCUAUUGUCACUUCAACCCAGAGGUGCUGCCACACACCCCUAGUUUGAGCCCCCCGAGCAGCCCCAUGUGCAGCAUAGCAACAGCCUGGGGAGAAUCCCACGGCCAGGUACCAAACCUUGGGUUCAUCCCCAUGGGGCCAGGCAUGGCCAGUGUCUUGCUCAGGAAUUCCACAUAGAUCCCCCCCAGGACUCGCAUUUCAACCCCGCCACCAUUGAAGCUGCGACAUUCACAGGGAUCAGAGACAAGCCUGGCCUCUGCCUACAUGCCUGAAGGAUUCUAGGCAAGACUGCUCUGGCUCGACGGCCCGAAGGGUCCAGCCGAAGCACACAGCCUCGGCUUCGUGCCGAUGCCAACCCUCCCGCAAGGCCACCAGAGCGGCAGCUCCAGACGCAGCGCGACUUUGCAACUUACAGCCGUUAUGGAAGGCUUCUUCCCAUCCCCUGCCGGUGGGUGGGUGACAUCGGCACCCAGGAAGAUCACUGGCUGCUGAAAGACGGCCGAGCUGAUUGGAGAGAAGAGACAGUGGAAACGUUUGCAGCUAUUCCAGUCAGAGAGUCACAGACUGCGUGGGGUGAGUCACAUUCGCAGCCACUGAGUUAUAGGGAGAGGGCAGACUGCAGCGAGGAAACCCCUCUCUGGACUCCAGCCUAGGUAGGACGAACUAGUCUGAAAACGUCUCAGCCGCUGCCUUUUCCUGUGGUUUGCCCUGAUCUUUGCUCAUGGCAUUGCAGGCUCGCUCUACCCUGGCUCGGUGCAUCAGUGUCACAAAUCAGCCACAUUUCUAAGCUGUUUGGGUUUAGAGGCAUCUUCACACCAGACCUCAGUGGUGAGUGAGGGCAACUAACAGGAAAUACCAUGACAUACCCAAACCAAACAUUCAGGCCCCAAUCCUGCAAGCACUUAGGCAUGUGGUCGGCUUGACACACUGGGUAAAGUUAAGCAUGUGUUUCACAUGUACGAAGUGACAUAUCUGCUUAUGUCUUGCAUAACUGGGGCCUUAGUCUGAGUCAUUAAUCUUCGUGAUGAAGAGGAACAUACAGAGCCAGGAUCUGCCGGGGGUAGGGAUUCCUUUUCAGAACAGAGCCUGGACUAACUUUCUUCACCAGCUGCACAAGCUGCCUCUACUGCAGAGCGGGAACUCUUUAUUCACAUGGAACGUGGCUUCAAAGUUCUCUCCUUUUGACUCUUACGAGAUUAGACUGGUGGCCACAGCCUAGCUAGUGGCAUAUGAAGCAGCACGGAGCUCAGGUGUCUCGCAGGGGAGGACUGGUGGCAGAGCAUUCUCAGGGAGGGGCUUCCCGCUUUGCAAUUCAUUUCCUUGCCUUGAUUUGGAGCCUAGAUUCAGUGACCUUCAGGAUACACUGCAAGACUUGUCUUUUCCCUCGGGGAUAGGAAGGGAGGAGUUCGCUCUGGGGCGGGAAAGGUUUAUUUUGAGGCCUGAUCUGUUCCAGUGCCCUUUUGACAUGGUUCGAUCAGCGCUGGUAACUUGCUCAGUGACUCUAGCACUGGGGGAGGGGGAGUCUCCGUGGCCAUUUCUGCAGCUGACUCAGUUUCCAGGUUCAUGUACAAGGCAGCACCUGGGCUGUAUUUCAUCCCCCCCAAUCCCCGAGUCAGGACAGGGGAUUUUAACAGCCCCUUGCCAAGCUCUCCUACUGGUAAGGCCAGACGGAGAGGCUGGUGCAGCAGGCUCUGCUGGGGACCCUGGUUUGGUCCCUUGAUCCCAGCCCCACAGCAGCAGAGCAGAAGCAGCGUGCUGGGAAACAGGAGGGAGGAAAGCCCUGCAUUACUCUCCAGCAGCAGCUCCCCUCCUGGCCUUUUCACCAGGGCAGAGAGGCUACGAUAAGGUCCUCUAAGAGGGAAAGAGCCCACACGGAUAAAGGGGAAGGGAGAGGCAUGGGGGGCAAGCCCACCCCACUGUGGCUGGGGCCCAAGGCGGGCAGGGGACUCGUACGUACCGCUGGU